GCAUUUCGCUUACACCGAAAAUAUAUCUGUUUAAAUCAGAUCAUUUUGA
RNAcentral lists this transfer RNA (49 nucleotides) under Microhyla ornata (ornate rice frog). Its description in RNAcentral is "partial tRNA-Val". It matches the Rfam family "tRNA", at positions 23 to 71 of the family's 71-position model. Rfam says of the family: Transfer RNA (tRNA) molecules are approximately 80 nucleotides in length. Their secondary structure includes four short double-helical elements and three loops (D, anti-codon, and T loops). Further hydrogen bonds mediate the characteristic L-shaped molecular structure. tRNAs have two regions of fundamental functional importance: the anti-codon, which is responsible for specific mRNA codon recognition, and the 3' end, to which the tRNAs corresponding amino acid is attached (by aminoacyl-tRNA synthetases). tRNAs cope with the degeneracy of the genetic code in two manners: having more than one tRNA (with a specific anti-codon) for a particular amino acid; and 'wobble' base-pairing, i.e. permitting non-standard base-pairing at the 3rd anti-codon position. The record is from RNAcentral. Lineage: Eukaryota; Metazoa; Chordata; Amphibia; Anura; Microhylidae.